RNAcentral lists this ribosomal RNA (399 nucleotides) under uncultured bacterium. RNAcentral's name for it is "bacterial SSU rRNA". It matches the Rfam family "Bacterial small subunit ribosomal RNA", at positions 356 to 772 of the family's 1533-position model. The record is from RNAcentral.
AAGGAAUAUUGGUCAAUGGGCGCAAGCCUGAACCAGCAACGCCGCGUGCGGGAUGAAGGGUUUCGGCCUGUAAACCGCUUUCCUGACGGACGAUGAUGACGGUACGUCAGGAAGAAGUCUCGGCUAACUACGUGCCAGCAGCCGCGGUAAAACGUAGGAGGCAAGCGUUAUCCGGAUUUACUGGGCGUAAAGCGCGUGCAGGCGGUUGGGUAAGUCAUGUGUGAAAGCUCCUCGCUCAACGGGGAGAGGACAGGUGAGACUGCCGGACUAGAGGAUGGUAGAGGCAAGUGGAAUUCCGGGUGGAGUGGUGAAAUGCGCAGAGAUCCGGAGGAACCCCUGUGGCGAAGGCGACUUGCUAGGCCAUAUCUGACGCUCAGACGCGAAAGCAUGGGGAGCGAA